GAGAAGGGUUAUGAAACCCAGAGACUGCUAAUUAUCUGAGCCUGAAGUUGAAAUCUUUAGUCUUCUUA
Molecule: transfer RNA, 68 nt
Filed under: Lissotriton boscai (Bosca's newt)
Lineage: Eukaryota; Metazoa; Chordata; Amphibia; Caudata; Salamandridae
Description: tRNA-Ser
Source: RNAcentral